Molecule: ribosomal RNA, 250 nt
Filed under: uncultured bacterium
Lineage: Bacteria
Description: partial 16S ribosomal RNA
Rfam family: Bacterial small subunit ribosomal RNA
Source: RNAcentral
GUCCACGCCGUAAACGAUGGAUACUAGCUGUUGGGGGCAACCUCAGUGGUUAAGCGAAAGUGAUAAGUAUCCCACCUGGGGAGUACGAACGCAAGUUUGAAACUCAAAGGAAUUGACGGGGGCCCGCACAAGCGGUGGAGCAUGUGGUUUAAUUCGAUGAUACGCGAGGAACCUUACCAAGGCUUAAAUGUAGAUUGACCGGUUUGGAAACAGACCUUUCGCAAGACAAUUUACAAGGUGCUGCAUGGUU